UAAUUCCUUAGUGAUCAUAAUCGUCGUCGUCAAUUACUUUGUAAAUAGAAUAAAUAGCAGACUCAUACAUGGGAUCAAAGGUCGCAAAAGUUCAUACAUAUUGUCCAUACCACUGGAGUAUAUGAGUCAAAGAGUGAAACAGUCGAGUGAGAAAUAUGUAUGCGUUUGCGUCCAGUCUUUUUCAUUAGUUUUUUGCUUCCUUAAAUGGAA
Molecule: long non-coding RNA, 210 nt
Filed under: Lathyrus oleraceus (garden pea)
Lineage: Eukaryota; Viridiplantae; Streptophyta; Magnoliopsida; Fabales; Fabaceae
Description: Pisum sativum (pea) long non-coding RNA (PSAT_LNC024238)
Source: RNAcentral